GCAGAACAGAACAGCCCAAGCGUGAGCACAAAACAUUAAACUGCGCCUGUAGUUGACGUUCUGCAUGGAGACAAGACAGUGCUCUUUUUAUACCAGCAACUUUGCAGACCACCCUAGCAACCACCCAUUAACACCCUGGCAACAGCCUGCCAACAAGUGUCCAUCGAUGUGCCCUUCCAGUUCAUUUCACUCAUACCAGUGACCUCAAAGGCCACCUUAGCAGCGGCCUAGCAACCACAGAGAACACAGCAAGCAACUUUGAGGUGAGUCACUGACAUUUCCUUCAGAAAACCCUAGUUUAGAUUGUGAAAUUGUCGAAUUGUAAACCAAGCGUCAUCAAAUCCACCACUCAAACCUGCAGCUUCAAGUGCUUCCUGUGACACACCGAGUCUGACUUCCUUGAGCACUUGAUGCACAAACACACAGUUCAGGAGGGAUACGUGUAAUCCUCAGCGCUGUUUAUACAGCCAGUUACUGCAAACCACUAUAUAGAGCAAACUCCAAACCUCCUCUGAAAAAUAACAUCCCCUCACAAACAGCAACACGUCGCAACCGCACAAUGUAGCUAACCAGCUCUAAACCACACCGCUUAGUUCAACAUCCCACCAUGGUGCACUCCAGGGGCAAACUACAUCAACACCUCCCUGCCCCAUUUUUCCUCACCUCUCUUAUUUUAUCUUACCUCUCUGUGCUCUCUUAUUGCCCUCUCCCUGCAUUCUUCUCUCUUUUCUCUCUCUCCACACAUAAUUGAUUAAGGGCCGCUUCCAUAAAUCAAUUUGGUAUGGGCAUCAGUCGGUAAUGAAUGGGGGAAGCCCCCCUCCGAGUGUCCAGUAUUAAUCUAGCACAGCAGGCUCUUCCACUCAGAACUCUCUGUCUUUCUCUCUUUUUCUCCCUGUCUUUUUUCCUUUCACAAACACGCACACACUCACAUACACAAACUGGACACAACUGGCAAAAACACACUCUAUAAGCUCAGAGGGGAGCUGCUUCUCAUCCUGGAUGAAAGAGAAAGAGAGGGACGACUGGAAAGGAUGGAAAAAUGAACGGACAGGCAUCUGAAAGAGAGAACUUGUGGUAAAACCCGGUGAUGGGAGAGCAGAAAAGGAGUGAUGGCAGGAGUAUAUACUCUUGAUCCCUCACAGCCACAUUGUCUCUGAACAAUGUUCCAAAGAAAACUGAA
Carassius auratus (goldfish) is the source of this 1180-nucleotide long non-coding RNA. RefSeq lists it as uncharacterized. Lineage: Eukaryota; Metazoa; Chordata; Actinopteri; Cypriniformes; Cyprinidae. The record is from RefSeq and is a predicted model, not a curated record. The transcript is spliced from 3 exons.